GAUGAACGCUGGCGGCGUGCCUAAUACAUGCAAGUCGAGCGAACAGAUGAGGAGCUUGCUCCUCUGACGUUAGCGGCGGACGGGUGAGUAACACGUGGAUAACCUACCUAUAAGACUGGGAUAACUUCGGGAAACCGGAGCUAAUACCGGAUAAUAUAUUGAACCGCAUGGUUCAAUAGUGAAAGACGGUUUUGCUGUCACUUAUAGAUGGAUCCGCGCCGCAUUAGCUAGUUGGUAAGGUAACGGCUUACCAAGGCAACGAUGCGUAGCCGACCUGAGAGGGGGAUCGGCCACACUGGAACUGAGACACGGUCCAGACUCCUACGGGAGGCAGCAGUAGGGAAUCUUCCGCAAUGGGCGAAAGCCUGACGGAGCAACGCCGCGGGAGUGAUGAAGGUCUUCGGAUCGUAAAACUCUGUUAUUAGGGAAGAACAAAUGUGUAAGUAACUAUGCACGUCUUGACGGUACCUAAUCAGAAAGCCACGGCUAACUACGUG
This 497-nucleotide ribosomal RNA is filed under the name uncultured bacterium. Its description in RNAcentral is "partial 16S ribosomal RNA". It matches the Rfam family "Bacterial small subunit ribosomal RNA", at positions 28 to 507 of the family's 1533-position model. The record is from RNAcentral.